GAUGAACGCUGGCGGCGUGCCUAAUACAUGCAAGUCGAACGCACAGCGAAAGGUGCUUGCACCUUUCAAGUGAGUGGCGAACGGGUGAGUAACACGUGGAUAACCUACCUCAAGGUUGGGGAUAACAUUUGGAAACAGAUGCUAAUACCGAAUAAAACUUCGUAUCGCAUGAUACAAGGUUAAAAGGCGCUACGGCGUCACCUAGAGAUGGAUCCGCGGUGCAUUAGUUAGUUGGUGGGUAAAGGCUACCAGACAAUGAUGCAUAGCCGAGUUGAGAGACUGAUCGGCCACAUUGGGACUGAGACACGGCCCAAACUCCUACGGGAGGCUGCAGUAGGGAAUCGUUCCACAAUGGGCGAAAGCCUGAUGGAGCAACGCCGCGUGUGUGAUGAAGGCUUUCGGGUCGUAAAGCACUGUUGUAUGGGAAGAACAGCUAGAGUAGGGAAUGACUUUA
Molecule: ribosomal RNA, 454 nt
Filed under: uncultured bacterium
Lineage: Bacteria
Description: bacterial SSU rRNA
Rfam family: Bacterial small subunit ribosomal RNA
Source: RNAcentral